This 473-nucleotide ribosomal RNA is filed under the name uncultured organism. RNAcentral's name for it is "partial 16S ribosomal RNA". It matches the Rfam family "Bacterial small subunit ribosomal RNA", at positions 331 to 796 of the family's 1533-position model. The record is from RNAcentral.
GUACACUCCUACGGGAGGCAGCAGUGGGGAAUUUUGGACAAUGGGCGAAAGCCUGAUCCAGCAAUGCCGCGUGAGUGAAGAAGGCCUUCGGGUUGUAAAGCUCUUUUGUCAGGGAAGAAACUGUGAGAGCUAAUAUCUUUUGCUAAUGACGGUACCUGAAGAAUAAGCACCGGCUAACUACGUGCCAGCAGCCGCGGUAAUACGUAGGGUGCAAGCGUUAAUCGGAAUUACUGGGCGUAAAGCGUGCGCAGGCGGUUUUGUAAGUCUGAUGUGAAAUCCCCGGGCUCAACCUGGGAAUUGCAUUGGAGACUGCAAGGCUAGAAUCUGGCAGAGGGGGGUAGAAUUCCACGUGUAGCAGUGAAAUGCGUAGAUAUGUGGAGGAACACCGAUGGCGAAGGCAGCCCCCUGGGUCAAGAUUGACGCUCAUGCACGAAAGCGUGGGGAGCAAACAGGAUUAGAAACCCGGGUAGUCC